UUGAGAGGAGAAGCCCGGAGAUGGGUACUGAGACAAGGACCCAGGCCCUAUGGGGCGCAGCAGGCGAGAAAACUUUGCAAUGUGCGAAAGCACGACAAGGUUAAUCCGAGUGAUUUCUGCUAAAGAAAUCUUUUGUUAGUUCUAAAAAUACUAGUGAAUAAGGGGUGGGCAAGUUCUGGUGUCAGCCGCCGCGGUAAAACCAGCACCUCAAGUGGUCAGGAGGAUUAUUGGGCCUAAAGCAUCCGUAGCCUGUUCUAUAAGUUUGCGGUUAAAUCUAUGCGCUCAACGUAUAGGCUGCUGUAAAUACUGUAGAACUAGGGAGUGGGAGAGGUAGACGGUACUCAGUAGGAAGGGGUAAAAUCCUUUGAUCUAUUGAUGACCACCUGUGGCGAAGGCGGUCUACCAGAACACGUUCGACGGUGAGGGAUGAAAGCUGGGGGAGCAAACCGGAUUAGAUACCCGGGUAGUCCCAGCUGUAAACGAUGCAGACUCGAUGAUGCAAUGGCAUAGAGCUAUUGCAGUAUCGCAGGGAAGCCGUUAAGUCUGCCGCCUGGGAAGUACGUACGCAAGUAUGAAACUUAAAGGAAU
This 588-nucleotide ribosomal RNA is filed under the name uncultured marine group I thaumarchaeote. RNAcentral describes it as "bacterial SSU rRNA". It matches the Rfam family "Archaeal small subunit ribosomal RNA", at positions 276 to 865 of the family's 1478-position model. Lineage: Archaea; Thermoproteati; Nitrososphaerota. The record is from RNAcentral.